Molecule: non-coding RNA, 22 nt
Filed under: Rattus norvegicus (Norway rat)
Lineage: Eukaryota; Metazoa; Chordata; Mammalia; Rodentia; Muridae
Source: RNAcentral
UUUUGAGCAUCGCCGUCUACUC